AACGAACGCUGGCGGCGUGCCUAACACAUGCAAGUCGAACGAGACCGUCGGGGCUAGCUGCUCACGGGUACUUACGGCCGGGUGAGUAGCCCGUAGGUAACCUGCCACUUACCGAAGGGUAACUUAAGGCAGCAUUAUCUAAUACCGCAUAAGAUUUAUUGCUUAUGGAUGUGUGCUUGUAGGAUUCGCUUGUUGGUAGAGUAAAUGCCUAUCAAGGGGAUGAUCUAUAGCUGGUGUGAGAGGAUGAUCAGCCACACUGGGACUGAGAGACGGCGCGGAGUCCUGCGGAAGGAAGCAGUGCGGAACAAUGAACGAUGGGCGAAAGACUGAUCCAGCAAGGCCGCGUGAGGGAGGAAGGCCUGAGGGUUGUAAAGCUCUUUUGACCGGGAUCAUAAUGACAGUACCGGGAGAAUAAGCUACGGCUAACUCCGUG
RNAcentral lists this ribosomal RNA (433 nucleotides) under uncultured bacterium. RNAcentral describes it as "partial 16S ribosomal RNA". It matches the Rfam family "Bacterial small subunit ribosomal RNA", at positions 29 to 507 of the family's 1533-position model. The record is from RNAcentral.